CCUACGGGCGGCAGCAGUGGGGAAUAUUGGACAAUGGGCGAAAGCCUGAUCCAGCCAUGCCGCGUGUGUGAAGAAGGCCUUCGGGUUGUAAAGCACUUUCAGUGGGGAAGAAAGCCUUGGGGCUAAUACCCUCGAGGAAGUACAUCACCCACAGAAGAAGCACCGGCUAACUCCGGGCCAGCAGCCGCGGUAAUACGGAGGGUGCGGGCGUUAAUCGGAAUUACUGGGCGUAAAGCGCGCGUAGGCGGUCUGAUAAGCCGGUUGUGAAAGCCCCGGGCUCAACCUGGGAACGGCAUCCGGAACUGUCAGGCUAGAGUGCAGGAGAGGAAGGUAGAAUUCCCGGUGUAGCGGUGAAAUGCGUAGAGAUCGGGAGGAAUACCAGUGGCGAAGGCGGCCUUCUGGACUGACACUGACGCUGAGGUGCGAAAGCGUGGGUAGCAAACAGGAUUAGAUACCCCGGUAGUC
RNAcentral lists this ribosomal RNA (465 nucleotides) under Vreelandella stevensii. RNAcentral describes it as "partial 16S ribosomal RNA". It matches the Rfam family "Bacterial small subunit ribosomal RNA", at positions 338 to 795 of the family's 1533-position model. Lineage: Bacteria; Pseudomonadati; Pseudomonadota; Gammaproteobacteria; Oceanospirillales; Halomonadaceae. The record is from RNAcentral.